UACGUAGGGUGCGAGCGUUGUCCGGAAUUACUGGGCGUAAAGAGCUCGUAGGUGGUUUGUUGCGUUGUUCGUGAAAUCUCACGGCUUAACUGUGAGCGUGCGGGCGAUACGGGCAGACUAGAGUACUGCAGGGGAGACUGGAAUUCCUGGUGUAGCGGUGGAAUGCGCAGAUAUCAGGAGGAACACCGGUGGCGAAGGCGGGUCUCCGGGCAGUAACUGACGCUGAGGAGCGAAAGCGUGGGGAGCGAACAGG
This 253-nucleotide ribosomal RNA is filed under the name uncultured bacterium. RNAcentral describes it as "partial 16S ribosomal RNA". It matches the Rfam family "Bacterial small subunit ribosomal RNA", at positions 524 to 776 of the family's 1533-position model. The record is from RNAcentral.